Molecule: ribosomal RNA, 253 nt
Filed under: uncultured bacterium
Lineage: Bacteria
Description: partial 16S ribosomal RNA
Rfam family: Bacterial small subunit ribosomal RNA
Source: RNAcentral
UACGAAGGGGGCUAGCGUUGUUCGGAAUUACUGGGCGUAAAGGGCGCGUAGGCGGUGUGUCAAGUCAGGCGUGAAAGCCCCGGGCUCAACCUGGGAACCGCGCUUGAGACUGGCACGCUCGAGUUCGGGAGAGGAUGGUGGAAUUCCCAGUGUAGAGGUGAAAUUCGUGGAUAUUGGGAAGAACACCGAUGGCGAAGGCAGCCAUCUGGACCGACACUGACGCUGAGGCGCGAAAGCGUGGGGAGCAAACAGG